UGAAAACUAUUUCACUUCCUGUUAUUCGAUGACACGCCACAUUCUUUAAGGAAGUGACUCUCUUACUCCAUCUUGUGUUCCUUAUAUAUAUGUCAAUGCUUGUGUUACACACAUGGUUCAACUUCAGCUUCAUAAGUUAUUUCUCUACAAACUGACGGGUCAGGCCCUAGAAGACUGUAUGAUAUAGGUCCGACCAGACAAAUGGACCCGAAGGCAGCUGUCGCCAUUGGAGUGGGAGCAGGAGCAGGAGUAGUUGCUGCGGUCGGGGUUCCUGUUGUUCUGGGAGCCAUAGGUUUCACCUCAGCUGGAAUAGCAGCAGGCUCCUUUGCUGCCAGCAUGAUGUCGACAGCUGCAGUUGCUAACGGAUGAGGAGUGGCAGCAGGAAGCAUACCUGUCAAGUAUCCCGUUUUGGCCGGGAAAGUCCCGUAUUUUACCCUUCUUUCCCGCCGUCCUCCCGUAUUAGUAUUUUCCCGUAAAUCUCCCGUAUUUUAACCUGCGUUAUUAAA
Long non-coding RNA from Perca fluviatilis (European perch), 506 nucleotides. RefSeq lists it as uncharacterized. NCBI's taxonomy places the organism in Eukaryota, Metazoa, Chordata, Actinopteri, Perciformes, Percidae. The transcript is spliced from 3 exons. The record is from RefSeq and is a predicted model, not a curated record.